Molecule: long non-coding RNA, 979 nt
Organism: Lagopus muta (rock ptarmigan)
Lineage: Eukaryota; Metazoa; Chordata; Aves; Galliformes; Phasianidae
Exons: 2
Source: RefSeq, a predicted model, not a curated record
UCUCUUCUCAUCCUGUAGCAGCCCAGGACGUUGAAACCAGGGAUGAGUGAGGCAUCCAGAGUGGCGUUUCCCCCAAGUGCUGCUGUGAUGGCUGUGGCUUCUUCUAGGGAAGCUUUCUCCAGCUGAAGAGAUCUGCCCACCUCAUCUCAGCCGUGGGCUGAGCUUGUAGGGCUGGUGGUGGUAGCUGAGACAACGUGAGCUUUCUGCAAAUGAAACCUGGAACGUGAGAAUCACAUCUUUACACUUUAACUGCCAGCCCCAGCAGUUAAAGUUUUAUGCAAAGCAAAUUGUGAGCUUGUGGGCAGGGCAGUGCCCCCGUGGAUUUGCUGGAUGUAACUGGGUGGUCCAAACCAGUGUGCUGCUUUGGGUGCAUGAGGAGCAGAGUCAGCAUCUGACCUAGUCCCAGAAGUCUGAAUGAACAGACGAGACUGAUGGCUGCCCUGCAAUCCUCUAACAGAGCCUUUGAGUGAUCCCAGUUCACUUGGCACAGCUGUUGGCACAAGAAGGCUGUUCCUGAGAAGGCACGGACAGACAGACAGACACUCUGCUUUGUGCUGUGUGGUUUUGCAGUGUCUCUGGGUGGCUGAUCGAGCAAGGGUUUCACUGCCCCUGCUGUAUUCUCAGUAAGGCGUUGCAGCAGUCUGAACUUAUCUUCCCUUUUGGAUCAUGUGUGGUAUCCUCCAUUAGUAACACUUUGCUCUGACAGGCGUCCUGCUGUGCAUUGCAGCAGUCAGGGGCUAAAUAAUUUAUUUGGGAAGCAAGUUUUGUACAUGGCUCGGAAAAGGGAAGAGAACAGGAAUAUUGCAACAGUGAACCGUGGGGUGGAUUUCAGUGGUAGCCUUGGAGAAAUACAUUGUGCCCUAUAGUUUCUGAGCAUUGCACUUUGCCAUCCAUUGUUUCAAAAUUGCUUUCUCUCCCAUAAUUAUCUUUACAAGAGGAGGCGGAUCCAAAGCAUUUGUUUGUGCCUUUUUUUUUCUUU